ACGGAAGGCAGCAGUGGGGAAUAUUGGGCAAUGGGCGAAAGCCUGACCCAGCAACGCCGCGUGAGGGAAGAAGGUUUUCGGAUUGUAAACCUCUGUCCUAGGUGACGAAGGAAGUGACGGUAGCCAAGGAGGAAGCCCCGGCUAACUACGUGCCAGCAGCCGCGGUAAUACGUAGGGGGCGAGCGUUGUCCGGAUUUACUGGGUGUAAAGGGCGCGUAGGCGGGGAUGCAAGUCAGGUGUGAAAACUAUGGGCUUAACCCAUAAACUGCAUUUAAAACUGUAUCUCUUGAGUGCUGGAGAGGUAGACGGAAUUCCUUGUGUAGCGGUGAAAUGCGUAGAUAUAAGGAAGAACACCAGUGGCGAAGGCGGUCUACUGGACAGUAACUGACGCUGAGGCGCGAAAGCGUGGGGAGCAAACAGGAUUAGAUACCCUGGUA
Molecule: ribosomal RNA, 437 nt
Filed under: uncultured Oscillospiraceae bacterium
Lineage: Bacteria; Bacillati; Bacillota; Clostridia; Eubacteriales; Oscillospiraceae
Description: bacterial SSU rRNA
Rfam family: Bacterial small subunit ribosomal RNA
Source: RNAcentral